Molecule: long non-coding RNA, 1585 nt
Organism: Lolium perenne
Lineage: Eukaryota; Viridiplantae; Streptophyta; Magnoliopsida; Poales; Poaceae
Source: RefSeq, a predicted model, not a curated record
GCUCUCACAGCGAUUUUAGCUUCUGGACCGUCAGAUCUUGCUAGCUGGGUUCACUUAGUCGAUCUCAUCCGUUCAUUCCGGGCCAGCAGCGCGUCAGACCUUCCUAGGUGAAGCCAUGUAACAACCAAUUUCUACCCGCCUCCUUAUGUAUUUGGGACCCGCAGCUCGGCCGGUCCACUCGUCAGUCGCUUGGGUGGGUUUCAAGUUAGUUAAGCGUGGCUGCCGGCGUAAGGGGUUGGCUGCCCACCCAAUCCCCACUCACGUUUCUCUCUCCCCCAAUCUCCACUCACGGUUCCUCUCCCCCAAUCCCCAUGGUUCUUCUCCCAAUUUCUCAAACCCUAGGCCAAUCCCCACCCUGCUCGCCGCCAGCUCCCGCCCCUCUCUCUUCCUCGGCUCCAAUGGAGCGAAGCCGGCGACGCGACGCCUCCUCCCCUUUCCACGGGCUCCUGAGCAGACGCGCGUGCGCAAGGGCAUGCGCUGGGCGGGCUGGCGACCAAGGCGAGGCCAGCAAGUGACGGUGGUGAGGGGCAUGUGCGCGGCGGGCUCCUGCUAUGCUCCGCCUCUCCAUCCUCCCAUCGAGGCGGAGGACGACAUGGCACCAGCGACGUGCGCCGCCACUCUCUCUCCUACCCGAGCUCCCGUCGUCUCCAUCGCGAGGAGCAGGUCAGGUCGCCGUCCUCCUUUUGUGUCUUGCAGCAGGACCAGCACCAGGAGGAGAACGCCCAAUGAAUCAGCGAAAUAGUUUGUCUAUAGAUCUGAGUGAUAAAAGUGACAAGAAGGGGACUUGGAGGAGAAAGGCAACCAUGACUCAAAAUGAUGAUUUUGAUGCACACUGCGCAUUUCAUGAUAUGCAGGAAAAAACUUGAAUGGAAUUGAAAGAUUUAGUAAGGCACUCCAAUAUCUAGUUGAGAUGAUGAAAGUCUUUGUAAUCAGGUUGUUCAGGAUGAAAUAGUUUAUUUGAAACUUCACUCCUUCUCGCCAAAAUAGAUAGCAUGGACCCUUGAUCUACACCGUGGAGCUUGGCGUAGAUCGAGCUCUUGCUGCCGGAGACGGAACUAAGACCUAUGUUGGAAGGUUACCAAUGAGGGCACACGUUUGGUCAAGCAAGCAGAAGGAUAUGCUAAAGUAGGUACAAUAUCCGCGCCAGCAACUGCAUCAUUUCUGCACUUCUUAUUUGUGGUUCAAUCUAUGGAUAGUUCAUUUUGCACUGUAGUGGCAUGUUGAUCCACCGUCCAAUUACACCAUAUCAUGUUAAUACUUUUAAAGCAGUUGACACCUGAUUAUUGAAGCCGCCAACAGGGUUUUAGAUUUCGUCUCUGACAUUUAGCUUAAUAGUUGUAUCUGGUCUGCCUUAUGUGAUUCAUGAGCUCCUGCCAUCCAGUGGUUCAGUUGUGUAUUUUUAUUUAAUCUUCCAUGAAAAAGUACUUUAAAAUUAAUCAUUUGCGCUCGGCUAUGUCCAUGCUUAUUUUGAUUUGUUAUGGUUUAAUCGUGCCAUUCCUGUUGUCCUUCUUUGUAAAUGGUUUGGUAUACAAGGAUACAUCUCCGAUUGUAACGAUUGACCUCCUUUUUGUAGUUCGACAUUUUU